UACGUAGGUGGCGAGCGUUAUCCGGAAUGAUUGGGCGUAAAGGGUGCGUAGGCGGCCUGCUAAGUCUGGAGUGAAAGGUACCGGCUCAACCGGUACAGGCUCUGGAAACUGGCGGGCUAGAGAGCAGGAGAGGGCGGUGGAACUCCAUGUGUAGCGGUAAAAUGCGUAGAUAUAUGGAAGAACACCAGUGGCGAAGGCGACUUACUGGACUGUAACUGACGUUGAGGCACGAAAGUGUGGGGAGCAAACAGG
Molecule: ribosomal RNA, 252 nt
Filed under: uncultured bacterium
Lineage: Bacteria
Description: partial 16S ribosomal RNA
Rfam family: Bacterial small subunit ribosomal RNA
Source: RNAcentral